AGUAUUUAUGUAUCCGGAGAAAGUUCUCCAGUAAAUUCUGGAGAUCUUCGGUAUUUAAAUGUCAACAUCGAUUUGUUUAUUUAUUGCUUAGUUUAUCGUAACCGACUCAAUAACAAAUCUAAUCAUGUUGUGCAGAGAGAAAAUAUUCUCAUUAUGUAUUUCCCCUACAUUACAGUUAACUAUUGCGUUUGAAUUCAAGCUGUAAAUUCAAUAUUAUCAAGUAAUUACU
Lepidothrix coronata (blue-crowned manakin) is the source of this 229-nucleotide unclassified non-coding RNA. Lineage: Eukaryota; Metazoa; Chordata; Aves; Passeriformes; Pipridae. The record is from Ensembl.